CCACAGUAUGUUUGCUCAACAUGUUCGCUCAAGCAUGUUGAUUAGAGGCUGCACUGACUUGCAUUAGACGCGGACCAGCUGACUGUUGUUCAUAAUAAGCUGAUUAAUGUUGCAUUUGAGCAGGCAUUAUUUGAGCUACCAGAGAAGUUUAAAGAAUGCUAAAAGGAAUACACUCUAAACCCGGGGAGAAGGCAUGGAGAGUGCUUGUGGAAAUUGUUCAGUUAGCUGAUGACAUGUUUGAUUUGCAGGGCUUAUGUUGCACGAAGAAACAAGAAACAUGUUUGAUUUGCAGGGUGAUUCUGCACUAAUUAUUCAGUUUGUUGUCUUUCCAAUCCAGAAGAACUAAGUGCUUGAUUUGGAUAAGCCAUGGUGACACCAGCUCCCAGCCAUAGUGAUUUGUAAUUUGACAGAACUUAUCCCUGGUUGCGUAAUGGAGAAAUCAGGGAUGCCUAA
Triticum aestivum (bread wheat) is the source of this 453-nucleotide long non-coding RNA. RefSeq lists it as uncharacterized. Lineage: Eukaryota; Viridiplantae; Streptophyta; Magnoliopsida; Poales; Poaceae. The transcript is spliced from 4 exons. The record is from RefSeq and is a predicted model, not a curated record.